This 2600-nucleotide long non-coding RNA is filed under the name Canis lupus familiaris (dog). Its description in RNAcentral is "lncRNA (ENSCAFG00000052356.1)". The record is from RNAcentral. Lineage: Eukaryota; Metazoa; Chordata; Mammalia; Carnivora; Canidae.
GGGGGCGUGGCCUCCGCGCGCCCCGCCCCGCCCGCGCGCCCGUCCGCUCGCGGUCUGGUGAGGCGGCGGUGGCCAAUCGGAGGCGGGCGGCCCAUAUGACGUCAGCACACGCCACCGCCACCUCGCGCCCGGCGCUGGCUCGGGAGCGCGGACGGCCGGCGGGUGGACUGCGGGGCGGCGGGGCGGGUGGACGGCGGCGGGGCGGCGGGGAGCUGGGGGCCGGCGGGCCCGGAGGGGAGGGGAGGGGAGGGGGGGGAGGGGAGAGCGGGCGGCGGGUCCUCCCCGGACGUGGCGCACGGUGGCGUCCCCUGCUAACCGGCCUCUGCACCGCGCCGGCAGCAGGUGAUCGCGCUGCACCUGCCGCGUCACCUGACGCUGCCCCUGUUGUGCCCAAGACCGCGCAUCCGAGAAACCGCCGAGGAGCCGACGCCGCUGCAAAGCCUGACGGUCCCCACACCUGCUCCCUGGCCUAGGUGGGUGGAUGCCCCGCACGAAGCCCGGCGCGGAGAUGGAGCUGUCGGCGGGUGUGUGCUUCCCGGCGGCCUAGAGGGGUCCAGAAGCCCUUCUUAGACAUGAAAUCUUUGAUGAAAAUGCAGAUGAUGCACUUUUCAUUCAUGCAGUGACUUCUCCCACGUUCACGUUGCCUUUCCUUAUUUACGGAAAGCAAACCAUCACACGUACUGCAGAAAAACAGAAAAUGUAAACUCUUAUUAAACUUUACUCUUCAAAAGCAGAUUGCUUUACCUCGUUGAUGUGUAAUGUGUUUCGACCCUGUUUCCCACAUGUGUCACACCGUGCCCCGUGCUAAUCUCACAUCUUGUUGAGCAAGAUGGUAUUAAGAUGUUCCUCAACAGUAGCGGGGGAAGAGUCCGUGGUCUUCUGUAGUGUCCCCCAUCAGCAGAGAUUGAGAGGAAGUUGGGACUUAGAGCAGAUCCUCUGGUGGCUGAGAGACCCCGGGGGCUGAGGCAGCAUGAAAUCCCAUUGCACGUGGCAACUUCAGUAUCAGGGUUUGUGACUCGGUGCCAGAAGCUUUAAAAAAAUGGAGACAGCCUCCUGAGAUACUCAUAUUUUUCAAAGUUCCUUUUUUUUGUUGGGUGGGGAGAUGGGAGGGGAGGGUUCACAUGAUUUUUUCAAUGAUGAAACAGGAAACUUCAGGAAAAAGUAGUCUUACAGUGGCUGUGUUCCCACUCCGUGACUUUAAGGGGUGUUUCAUUAAAGUUUUGAGAAGCACAGCGUAAAGACACUUGCCAUCCAUUAAUUAGCUUGUUACUAUUGCAUCAGCGUCCAUGGUGGGUUUUCUGCUACUGCUAACUUAUAGGCCAGACACAGCCUGGUUAUGGUGUAAACACCCUACAGCCAGUCCAUCAUGCCAACCCAGUGUGAACGUAACCUACUAAUCUUUUCUACCUCCAUGAGAGCCUAAGUUUUUAACAAGUUUCUUCAUCAUGAACUAUGACAAAAGUGUUUUCAAACACUCCUGCAUAAUCAAGACUUAUAAUUUGCUAAUAAUGUCACUUGUUUGCAUUUCUUGGGCACGACCCAAAGUGGAAGUGGGUGGGAAGGAGGGGUUCCGUCCUCACGUCUCUCUGUGAGAAGGGCAGAAGCUGGCUUUCACACUCUGUGUAUCCCUCUCUAAACCCUGAUCACCACUAUAAACCUUGCUCCCAGAAGUUCAAAGCGCUCUUGACUUCAUGGCAUAGUGUCAUGUGGGUCUUGGCCAUUUUCUCCACGCAUCUACUGUAAGUGCACACCGUUGUAACAUUGGAACUUUGUAAAAGCAAAAACAUGAAAAGCUGCCCAACUGUUCACUGAUAGGAGAUCGUCUGGCUCAAUGACGGCACACGUAUCCAAGGGACGCUAUGUAAUCACGUCACUGCCGGCUCAGCCAUCAGCAGCCAGUGUUCUCUCUCCCUUCCCCUGCCAUCAGCCUGCAGUGUCAUAUGCAGGUGGAGAAGCACUUCUUUCAAUCAAGGUGUGAAUCUUGUGGACGUGGAUCUGCAUCAGCCUCGGCCCUGAAAUGUCGGCAUGUCAUGGACUCAAUCAGGAAAGACUAGUAAAUGCAGGGAGCUUCUCACCAGCUUUCAAAAACUGGUCCAUUCAGGUAUAUGAGGCCCAAGAGCAGGGGGGACUGCUCUUCACUUACCUGCCAAGCUGCUGUGUAGGUGGAUUCCUUACAGCACUGAAAUUAGCAUAUCUGUCUUCUGGGAUCUAAGAUGUGUUAGGUUUUCUUUAUGUUUUUUUCUCUUGCCAUUUUGCCUGGCCAUGCAGACUACUCCAGUGUCGCUUUUAAUGUAAUACCCUUAUGUACAAGUACAAACCUUAUGAAAAUACAUAUUUUUAAAAAGAUUUACUUAUCUAUUUGAGAGAGAGUGUGUGUGCAAGUGGUGCAGGGAGAGGGAGUGGGAGAGAGAAUCUCAAGCAGACUCCACUCUCAGGACCAAGCCCGAGGUGGGGCUGGAUCUCACGACCCUGAGAUCAUGACCUGAGCUGAAACUGAGAGUCGAACACUCAACUCACUGAGCAUCCCAGGCGCCCCUCAUGGGAAUAUUUUAUGGGUUUCUGUGUUGUCUGUCUCCUGUGUGGAAACGGACUCUCCAUUC